AAGGCGUCAAUUUUUACAAAGCUCAUUGUUCUGAAAAGAGAUGUGUACGCUGAUUGGCCAGCUAUCCAGUGUGUUGUGAUUGGCCAAAUGCCUCAAGCGUGUGACGGAAAUGUUAUGCCACCCCUUACCACACUGUGAUUCCCGGCUCGAUGAGACAAAACCAAUAAAACCCAUUACAAAUGAGGUAUUUGUUGCAUCCAGUGGGGACAUAAUUAUUGAUUAUAAUGACUUAUACUGUUUUUUUUAAGGCGUUGCAUAUCACGCUGCAUAGACAUAAAACCAUGUCUGCAUUUGUGAUCGGAAAAAUGACAAAAAAGCUCUACUCUACACUGCUUAAAGCUCGCAUUUGAAUCCUCAGUGGCAAAUUCUUUAAAUAUGAAAAACGUACUUACAGGCUGUGAGUCAGAAGCGCCAGACUGUCCUUGCCAAGGUGGAACUGUCCCACUUUAUAGAAACAGCCUUUGUGUGUAGACGGUAUUGUAUGCUACUUUUCAAGGUUCAGGAAACAGUCCUCCAUAAAAUGCACUGCAUACAUCUGAAUAUUUGGGUUGAACUGUUCUGGAACAGUGUUGUAAAUACAACUUGACCACUGAUUUCUAGUUGUGUCCUCUUUUGGAAGACCAAACAAAGUAGUUUUGCUUUCACAACGAAACACACAGCGUCACACAAGCAGGGUUUGAGAAAGGCACGGCUAGUGGGCUUGCGGCAACCACAUGAGAUGACCCCGGUCUGGACUCCGCUUCGUCCAUGGUGGAAGCCAAUCCGUUAUUUUUCGUAAUAAGUAGUUUUUAAAAGUAAAAAGUAAAGAGUUUUUCACAGGGGAGUAGCCUAUAAGCAGUAAAUCUGCACAGAAUCAUUCACAUCAGUUAAUACCUCUAGCAGAUACCUGGCGAUCAGGUAAAAUUGAAACACUACUGACAUCUUUGCCAUUAUAUGAUAUAAUGUUGACAUAUUGUUUGUAUUGUAGGGUAUGGAGGUUUGGGUGCAGCUGGAGGCACGGGAGGUGUUGGAAGCCCACUAGGAACCGCUGGAGGUUAUGAUGGCACUGCUGCAGGGGGACCUGGAAGUGCUCCACUUACACCUCAGCAAUCAAAAGCAGCUAAAUAUGCAGCUCUUCAAAGGUUUCUAGGUGCAGGAGGCUACAGAGGGGGCGCAGGAUGCCAAGGCAAAUAUUGCGCAAGGAGGAGGAAGUGAGAAACCAGCUGAUAAAAGUCACCUGAUAAACAAGUGGUGCUACUGCCUGAUCUCAAAUGCAUUUUUUACAGUUUAAAAGUGCCUCAUGUAAUAUGUGAGAAAUUUGGACUUACACUAAAGAAUUUUUCAGUCGUAUGAUUAGAUGUGAUGUGAACCUCACUUAAGGCAAUCUUUGCACUGCCUAUACUCCCUUUACUUUACUUGUCACUAUACAUUUUCUAAAAGUGUCACAUUUUUUAAAAACCUUUUAUUUUUCAUCCAUUUUACCAUUUAAUGUUCCAUCUUAAAAUUCUGCAGUUCCAGAUGUGCAUCUCUUAUGGUUUUGUUGCAGUAGCUCACUGACCCUUAGCUGUGUGUGUAGACACAUGCAAUCUAGGAAUGUGUUGCUGCUAUUUCAGGAUGAACUGUGACCGUGGGGGAAGCAGUGUCAUUAGGCUUCAUGUUCUGGCCACCUAUCGUAAAGGGAGCCUAUUUUCUUUUUAGCUAUAUGCAUAUGAGUUCAUGAAUCCAUAUUUUGUCUUUUCCAGCAUAUUCAGCCAUUCAAAGUGUAGUCACACAAAGGAACGGGAUCUAGGCUUACCAAUUUUAGUCUUAUAAGAACAAAAUGCUUGUUGUAACUGCAGUAGAAAGCAUCUGAGUAUACUGAGGAUUAUAAACUGUCUUCAAAGAUACCUCAGGAACUUGAAGCAGUUUCUUUUCUAGUUUCCUGACCCUAGUAAAACCUUGUUUUUGUUUGUUUGUUUGUUUUAA
Molecule: long non-coding RNA, 1944 nt
Organism: Cyprinus carpio (common carp)
Lineage: Eukaryota; Metazoa; Chordata; Actinopteri; Cypriniformes; Cyprinidae
Exons: 4
Source: RefSeq, a predicted model, not a curated record